Molecule: ribosomal RNA, 335 nt
Filed under: uncultured eukaryote
Lineage: Eukaryota
Description: SSU rRNA
Rfam family: Eukaryotic small subunit ribosomal RNA
Source: RNAcentral
AAAAUUAGAGUGUUCAAAGCAGACAAGUUAAAACUGUCAUUGAAUAUAUUAGCAUGGGAUAAUGGAAUAAGCCUCUCUGCUUAUUUUGUUGGUUUCUAAGUAGGGAGAAAUGAUUGAUAGGGACAGUUGGGGGCAUUAAUAUUUAAUUGUCAGAGGUGAAAUUCUUGGAUUUAUGAAAGAUUAACUUCUGCGAAAGCAUUUGUCAAGGAUGUUUUCAUUAAUCAAGAACGAAAGUUAGGGGAUCGAAGAUGAUUAGAUACCGUCGUAGUCUUAACCAUAAACGAUGCCGACCAGCGAUGGGAGACGUACACAUGCUGCUCAAAAGGUAGCAUGGA